CGCCCGUAGCUCAGUUGGAUAGAGCGUCUGGCUACGAACCAGAAGGUCGGGAGUUCGAAUCUCUCCGGGCG
Molecule: transfer RNA, 71 nt
Filed under: Terriglobia bacterium
Lineage: Bacteria; Pseudomonadati; Acidobacteriota; Terriglobia
Description: Solibacteres bacterium tRNA-Arg
Rfam family: tRNA
About the family: Transfer RNA (tRNA) molecules are approximately 80 nucleotides in length.
Source: RNAcentral